RNAcentral lists this ribosomal RNA (305 nucleotides) under uncultured bacterium. RNAcentral's name for it is "bacterial SSU rRNA". It matches the Rfam family "Bacterial small subunit ribosomal RNA", at positions 337 to 634 of the family's 1533-position model. The record is from RNAcentral.
ACCUACGGGGGGCAGCAGUAGGGAAUCUUCCACAAUGGGCGAAAGCCUGAUGGAGCAACGCCGCGUGGGUGAAGAAGGUCUUCGGAUCGUAAGACCCUGUUGUUAGAGAAGAAAGUGCGUGAGAGUAACUGUUCACGUUUCGACGGUAUCUAACCAGAAAGCCACGGCUAACUACGUGCCAGCAGCCGCGGUAAUACGUAGGUGGCAGGCGUUAUCCGGAUUUAUUGGGCGUAGAGGGAACGCAGGCGGUCUUUUAAGUCUGAUGUGAAAGCCGUCGGCUUAACCGGAGGAGUGCAUUGGAAACG